RNAcentral lists this ribosomal RNA (281 nucleotides) under uncultured Staphylococcus sp. Its description in RNAcentral is "partial 16S ribosomal RNA". It matches the Rfam family "Bacterial small subunit ribosomal RNA", at positions 81 to 354 of the family's 1533-position model. Lineage: Bacteria; Bacillati; Bacillota; Bacilli; Caryophanales; Staphylococcaceae. The record is from RNAcentral.
CUCCUUUGACGUUAGCGGCGGACGGGUGAGUAACACGUGGGUAACCUACCUAUAAGACUGGGAUAACGUCGGGAAACCGGAGCUAAUACCGGAUAAUAUUUCGAACCGCAUGGUUCGAUAGUGAAAGGUGGUUUUGCUAUCACUUAUAGAUGGACCCGCGCCGUAUCAGCUAGUUGGUAAGGUAACGGCUUACCAAGGCGACGAUACGUAGCCGACCUGAGAGGGUGAUCGGCCACACUGGAACUGAGACACGGUCCAGACUCCUACGGGAGGCAGCAGGG